RNAcentral lists this non-coding RNA (27 nucleotides) under Mus musculus (house mouse). Lineage: Eukaryota; Metazoa; Chordata; Mammalia; Rodentia; Muridae. The record is from RNAcentral.
AGCAUCAUAUUCUGGUAUUGCUGGAAA